UUACUCUUUAAGAUGACCAAAUAAUAAAAUAUGGAUCUAAUUUUUUGAAUAUUAUUAUUAUUAAAAUAAAUAAAUAAAAUUAAAAGUAAAAUAAAUUAUAUUAUAGAAGAUAUUAUCUUAGAUAAGUUGCUAUUGAUAAAAGAAUUGGCUCUUGCUAUGUAAGAAGGCGAAGAGGUAAGGUAGAUGAAGAAACAAAUGAUUUUAAGAAUAUAAAAGAUAUCCUAAAAGAA
This 230-nucleotide long non-coding RNA is filed under the name Physcomitrium patens. RNAcentral describes it as "long non-coding RNA (PPAT_LNC005376)". Lineage: Eukaryota; Viridiplantae; Streptophyta; Bryopsida; Funariales; Funariaceae. The record is from RNAcentral.